UUUUCUGUGUUGGUGUUGUGUACUCAGGUGAAUAUGAUGUUUGUGAUGGUAAGUCAGAGUAACAUCAGAGUAACAUCACAAACAUCAUAUUCACCUGAGUAUACACAACAUCAACACAGAAAA
This is a non-coding RNA of Paramuricea clavata, 123 nucleotides long. The record is from the annotation of a GenBank genome assembly. NCBI's taxonomy places the organism in Eukaryota, Metazoa, Cnidaria, Anthozoa, Malacalcyonacea, Plexauridae.